UCUCCUCUGUAGAGAGUCCACCUUAUAAAUAUAAGAAAUUUAACAAAUAAGACUAUUUAAUAUAAUAAUUUAAUACAAUAAUAAAGUGAUAUUUAAUAAAUAAAAUUUAUAUAAUUGAAAUGAAACGAAUACUCACUGAAAGAAAAAAAAUAAAAUAAUAGUAAAAGAUUUAGAGGCAAAUUAAGAAAUAUGGUAAUCUAAAAAAGUAAAAAAAUUCCAUAAUAAUAUUAAAGACAAUGUAUAAUAAAAAUUUAAUAUAUUUUUAACUACAAUGUAAGAUUGUUUCUGAACUUUUAAAAUUUUAAUAUAUUUUUGAUUACAAA
RNAcentral lists this long non-coding RNA (323 nucleotides) under Brassica rapa (field mustard). RNAcentral describes it as "long non-coding RNA (BRAP_LNC006645)". The record is from RNAcentral. Lineage: Eukaryota; Viridiplantae; Streptophyta; Magnoliopsida; Brassicales; Brassicaceae.